This is a long non-coding RNA of Oreochromis niloticus (Nile tilapia), 1250 nucleotides long. RefSeq lists it as uncharacterized. Lineage: Eukaryota; Metazoa; Chordata; Actinopteri; Cichliformes; Cichlidae. The record is from RefSeq and is a predicted model, not a curated record. The transcript has 2 exons.
GGGACUUUCAGAAGAAGUCGUGACAAAAAAAACCCAUACAUUUCUCCACAUUUUUUGUGACACUUUUAUUCAUACUCUGCUUUUCUACUUUUUAUCAUGCCAAAAGUAACUUGUACCUGAGUGGUGGACAUGGUGAAGGCCGCAUUAUAACAUGGGCAUGCAUGGCUGCCAGUGGAACCAGGCCACUAGUGUUUAUUGAUGAUGUGACUGCAAAAGUAACCACACCUGACUUUCUAAAGAAAUUGUACAUUCUUCAAUGGCCAAGUCAGUCACCUGAUCUCAAGUCCACCCAAUGUUAAAUACAAACCAUAAUGCAGAGAGACCCACAAACAAGCAGCAACUGUAGGUGGCAACAGUAAAGGCCUAGCAGAGCAUCUUAAGGGAGGAAGCACAACAUUUAGUGAUGUCCAUGGUUUAAUCAAAUAUUACAUUUUUUUACAUUCACAUUUAAAUUGAUGUAAACGUUUUUUCAUUAAUUUUGAUCUUCUCAGACUUGGGGACUAUGUAUAAAAACUAGAUGUAAUCCUUAAACAGUGUACUUAGGCAAAAUUGCAAAAAAUGUUUCUUUGUUCCAAACAUCGUGGAGGGCAGUGUGUGUGAACAAACAUCCUUAAAUAAAAAAUCAAAUCCAGGCACACAUCUUCUCUCACUGACUCUCGCCUGACUGUAAUGCGCUUCUUCAAGCCCAAAACACACUAGAUUUUUAAAUAUAUGUUUUUAAAAUUUUCUUCAGCAUCGUUUUGAGAAAUAUGGAUUAGAUAGAAACAAAAUGUUGGCAUGUUUACGAUGCCUGUUUCACAUUUUCAUUGCCCACUUAUAACACCCACUUUUACCAGUAGCUGAGAUUACAGUUAUAAAGAGAACUGCGGCCCUCAACAGCAGUCCCAGUUUCUCAUGUACCCCGUUGGGAAAAUUAAUUGCCCAUCCCUGUUUUGAAAGUGAAACACGAACAGUGUUUGAAACCAUGAAAAAGGGACACAUAUUGGCCAAUCUUGAGCACAUCUUUAAUGACUGUUUUGCACAUAUUUUAAUGCAAGGAAACACUGAGACAGUCUCCAAGUACUUGACACUGUUAAGUUUAUUAUGUAUACAGCACUAUGAAUGAAAGCUGUCUUGUGUUGGUUGCUGGUUAUUGGUGCUGUAAGUGUCUGCGGAUUUGAAUAUUUAUUUAAACGAAUUGCAUUGUGAUGAUUUCAGCAGCUGGUGCGGCUGUGUGGCCUCUUCUUAAACAGAUUUAAAAAGGCCGGAAA